Molecule: long non-coding RNA, 365 nt
Organism: Zingiber officinale
Lineage: Eukaryota; Viridiplantae; Streptophyta; Magnoliopsida; Zingiberales; Zingiberaceae
Exons: 5
Source: RefSeq, a predicted model, not a curated record
UGAUGUUUAGUCCAAGUAUCUAAUCUUGCAGGUAGUACCCUUUACUCCGAGUGCUGGUAUACUUGAAUGGGUUGAUCGUACUAUUCCACUUGGCGAAUACCUUUUAGGAAGUGCAAGAAAUGGUGGAGCACAUGGACGUUAUGGGGUUGGAGAUUGGACAUUUCUUCAGUGCAGGGAAUACAUGAUGAAUGAGAAGGACAAGAGGAAGGCAUUUGUGAAAAUCUGUGACAAUUUCAGGUCUGUUCUGCAUUAUUUUUUUCUGGAGAAGUUUUUGCAACCCGCAGAUUGGUUUCAAGGCAGGCUUUCUUGUACAAGAAGUGUUGCAGCAAGUUCCAUGGUUGGUUACAUCGUAGGACUUGGACAUA